RNAcentral lists this ribosomal RNA (117 nucleotides) under Dehalococcoidia bacterium. Lineage: Bacteria; Bacillati; Chloroflexota; Dehalococcoidia. The record is from RNAcentral.
CUCGGCGGUUCUGGCGAGGCGGACCCACCCGUUCCCAUCCCGAACACGGAAGUGAAACGCCUCAGCGCCGACGAUACUGAAGGGGCAACUCUUUGGGAAAAUAGGUCACCGCCGGGC